GAGUUUGAUCAUGGCUCAGAACGUACGCUGGCGGCACGCCUAACACAUGCAAGUCGAACGCAGUAGCAAUACUGAGUGGCAAACGGGUGAGUAACAUGUAGGUAUCUACCCUUUGGCCUGGAAUAACACGAGGAAACUUGUGCUAAUACCGGAUAAGUCUUUACGGAGAAAGCUUUAUGCACCAUUGGAUGAGCCUGCACUUGAUUAGUUUGUUGGUGGGGUAAUGGCCUACCAAGACUGUGAUCAAUAGCUGAUUUGAGAGGAUGAUCAGCCACAUUGGGACUGAGACACGGCCCAAACUCCUACGGGAGGCAGCAGUGGGGAAUCUUGCACAAUGGAGGAAACUCUGAUGCAGCGAUGCCGCGUGAGUGAAGAAGGCCCUUGGGUUGUAAAGCUCUUUCGUCGGGGAAGAAAAUGACUGUACCCGAAUAAGAAGGUCCGGCUAACUUCGUGCCAGCAGCCGCGGUAAUACGAAGGGACCUAGCGUAGUUCGGAAUUACUGGGCUUAAAGAGUUCGUAGGUGGUUGAAAAAGUUGGUGGUGAAAUCCCAGAGCUUAACUCUGGAACUGCCAUCAAAACUUUUCAGCUAGAGUAUGAUAGAGGAAAGCAGAAUUUCUAGUGUAGAGGUGAAAUUCGUAGAUAUUAGAAAGAAUACCAAUUGCGAAGGCAGCUUUCUGGAUCAUUACUGACACUGAGGAACGAAAGCAUGGGUAGCGAAGAGGAUUAGAUACCCUCGUAGUCCAUGCCGUAAACGAUGUGUGUUAGACGUUGGAAAUUUAUUUUCAGUGUCGCAGCAAAAGCGAUAAACACACCGCCUGGGGAGUACGACCGCAAGGUUAAAACUCAAAUGAAUUGACGGGGACCCGCACAAGUAGUGGAGCAUGUGGUUUAAUUCGAAGACACGCGCAGAACCUUACCAACACUUGACAUGUUCGUCGCGACUCUAAGAGAUUAGAGUUUUCGGUUCGGCCGGACGAAACACAGGUGCUGCAUGGCUGUCGUCAGCUCGUGUCGUGAGAUGUUGGGUUAAGUCCCGCAACGAGCGCAACCCUCACUUUUAGUUGCCAUCAUUAAGUUGGGCACUCUGAAAGAACUGCCAGUGAUAAGCUGGAGGAAGGUGGGGAUGACGUCAAGUCCUCAUGGCCCUUACGUGUUGGGCUACACACGUGCUACAAUGGUACUUACAAUGGGAAGCAAAGAUGCAAGUCCUAGCCAAUCCCUAAAAUGUACCUCAGUUCGGAUUGUACUCUGUAACUCGAGUGCAUGAAGCUGGAAUUGCUAGUAAUCGCGGAUCAGCGCGCCGCGGUGAAUACGUUCCCGGGUCUUGUACACACCGCCCGUCACACCAUGGAAGUUGGUUACACCUUAAGGCAAAGCUUAUACCUUUGACUACGGUACGAUCAGCAACUGGGGUGAAGUCGUAACAAGGUAACC
Molecule: ribosomal RNA, 1434 nt
Filed under: uncultured marine bacterium
Lineage: Bacteria
Description: partial 16S ribosomal RNA
Rfam family: Bacterial small subunit ribosomal RNA
Source: RNAcentral